RNAcentral lists this long non-coding RNA (594 nucleotides) under Androctonus crassicauda. Lineage: Eukaryota; Metazoa; Arthropoda; Arachnida; Scorpiones; Buthidae. The record is from RNAcentral.
CAAAUAAAAUUGGAAACACUCUGUUCUAAAUCAAUUCAGAAAGUGUUCAUUGAUUGGAAGUGAUAUGCUUUAUAUGUCACAAUCAAGAAUGAAUGUUGAAAGACCUAAAUGAAUAACAUAUAACAAGUUUUUAAUUUAAUAUCUCAGAUGUAAUACAAAACAGCAUUUGUCCAGGGAGACUAAUAUGAUAACAGUAUCAACCUAGAUAGAUAACAAGAUGAGAGAGAGCAAAAGAAACAAAUAUGAUGAUGCCAGGUCACGAUCUCCCAUAGAGACCAGCAGAGUGCACCUAAUCCUGCUGGUUGGGUUUAGUGUUGACACACACUUGCAUCAUGUUCAUGACUCCUACAAUGACCAGAUGGAUGCAUUUGACUUUACCAGACAUAUUAGGAAAUUAUAUUUCCAGAUAUGUCUGAUAAGGUCGGAUGCAUCCAGCUGAUCACUGUAUUUUUACAAAUUAUUGCUUUUUUUUUUCAUUCCAGUAAAACACAAUAUUCACCAGCAUGCAUAUGCUUGUGUGAAUAGCAAUAUGGCACUAUGGUAAACAUAGUACUGCUAAUGUUCUUUGCUCUUCUAAGUGCUAUAAGAUGGAUA